GACAGAGGAUGCAAGCGUUAUCGGGAAUGAUGGGGCGUAAAGCGUUUGUGGGGGGCUUUUUAAGUCCGCCGUCAAAUCCCAGGGCUCAACCCUGGACAGGCGGUGGAAACUACCAAGCUGGAGUACGGUAGGGGCAGGGGGAAUUUCCGGUGGAGCGGUGAAAUGCGUAGAGAUCGGAAAGAACACCAACGGCGAAAGCACUCUGCUGGGCCGACACUGACACUGAGAGACGAAAGCUAGGGGAGCGAAUGGG
Molecule: ribosomal RNA, 253 nt
Filed under: uncultured bacterium
Lineage: Bacteria
Description: partial 16S ribosomal RNA
Rfam family: Bacterial small subunit ribosomal RNA
Source: RNAcentral